CCGUGGGCUGGAAAUUGUAAACUGGCGCCAGCAUUGUCUGCUGUGCCCCCUGGCAAUGUGACUCUGGGCACAGUGAAAUAACAUUUACCUCCUUGGGGUAAGAGUGGGAAGGCAGUGGGCAGAGUGUGAGCAAUUACCUGAUACUCGGGUGGGUGAUGUAGCUCAAGAUUUUGAGGACAGUGGUACCUUUCCUAACCUGGCAUCUGUUGUGCUGCUGCUGAAGGUCCUGGCCAGGCAAUUUUUCCCUGCCUCAUUUGUAGGACUGAGGUAGGCGAGGAGUGACGUAUUGGGGGAGGAGAGGCAGGGUGGUAGCAGAGAUGCGCUGUAGGUCGUAGAACUAGGUGUUGCAAAGUGAUCUUUAUCCUUACAGUGGCCUUCCAAAGUGGUGCCUGGCUGCUUUUGCGAUGCAGAAGGUUAAAGAGCUCGCUGUGGCCAGAGGCCAGGUGUGGGUGGCAAGCUUUGCUAUGCCAAGGAUUGAAGUCCACAGGAGCCAGAGGUUUGGCGAGCUGGAGGCUGUGGCUGCUCUCAGGCAGGGGACUGAAACAGAGCUGUGCUUCCUUUUCACACAGGGGAAAUUUGGGCUUACCUGCACACCGGAGGUGACAGCAACAAAAAGAAAAAAGAAAAAAAAAAAAAAGAAGGCACAGAACAACAGCGGGGGAAGAGGGUUCAGCAGAGCUGUUGUUGUUCAGUUCCUUUCUAACUUCCCCUUAGUGAAGGUAGAUUUUGUGGUGCUGUUGAGGUUGGCUGUUUCUCCUCGUCUAUUCCUAGCAAGGACAUCCCUCCCUGCCAGGAUCUGCAGUGUCCUGACAGGGCAAGGGGCAACCACAGCUUGCUUGGCAGGUGGCAGAGUUCAAAACUGGCUACAUCCUGAAAAGAAGGGAAGGCAACGGAGCACGUGGUGCUGUGUAUGGGGAAAGGAGGCUGGCUGGAAGAGGCAGAGGUUAAGAAUGCAGCCCAGGGAACAGCAGGGGGAAUGCUAAAAUGUUUGUCCUGCACUCUGUAAACAUAGCAGAUAUGCCCAGAUUUCAAACCCAGUUUAGCAACGCUCAUAUACACAGUUUCACGGACAGCUUCUUUCUUUCUGCAUCGCCUGCAGGGACAGUAACGUUGACACUGAGCGGCAAACAGUGGGAGCUGUUCCAGUAUCAAUAAGGACUUGGACGAGGGAGCAAGUUUGCUUGUCUGCAAAGGCCUUGGAAACCAUCUUACAGAGACAACCAGCUGCUUGCGCGGCUAGCUGGGGAUGGUGGUGCUGAGCCAGGAGAUAGUAAACCUCUGGGAUGUUGCAGCUUUGCUUUGCUGUCAGGGAGGAAGCAAGAACAUGUGCUGUUCUCUUCAGUCUUCAGGAGCGGGCACUUUCCAGCCUGGCACUGCUCCGGGCAGAGCAUCGCUCCCAACUGGCACGAGAGGUCUGGGGCUGUCGGCGUGUCAAGAAAGAUCCUUCUAAAAGCCCUGAGCGUGCAGCAUGAAUUCCCACCUUUGUUUUCGAGGCAACAGCUCUCAGCACCACCAGAAGAGCGAAAGGUUUGUAUUGUGAGUCAGCAGACCAUCUGCAAUCAAGUUCAGGACUCGUUUUUUUCUGUAAUUAAGCACGAAAUGGGCUUAAAGCUACCUUUGGCCAGGCUGGGGCUGAUGUGGCUUCCAGAGUAGAUCACACCAUCCACGAAAUCUCUCUGUGCAGCCAGAUUAAGAUCCAUAGAGGAGAUCAGGAUUGUGCAUUCUCUCUGUGUUGCUGUGGCAGAAGAGCCUGAGCUGUCACAGCGCGCCCUGUGCCCAAGGUAAAGCUGAGAUGGUCUCCUGCUCUUUGGCUCCGUGUUUUAUUUGCCACUUGUGAGGGUGCCUUACCCCCGUCGAUAUUCUAGGCAAUACCAUGAGCUCCACGGGUAGAUGAGAUUUAGAUAAAAUGGGGGAAAUCUAUGCUAUGAUCUAAUCAGGCACGAGCAGCUGGGAGGGCAGUUGACUCUGGAUUUCCCCACUUCGAUAGAUCAGUCUAGUUUGCAGAUUCCCAUGAUGGCUCAAUCCUGCAAUGUUCUCAGUCUUCUAGUCCUACUUCAGCAAAAUGAUUAGGUCUAUUUAUAAGCCUAGGACUGGAUCUACUGAAACCAGUAGUAGAAACAAUGUCAGGCUCUUAUUGCCAUGUUUAGGUACCCAACUAUAUGGUCUAAAUUCUCAGAGCUGCUGAUCCCACCAAAGAUCCCACUGGGCCCUUGCCAAAGUGCUUCUGGGAUCGAGGUGUGGGAUCCUCAGCAGCCAUCAGCAUGGAGCCCUGCAACAGGAAAACCUCUAACGUGCUGUGAAAUCCUCGGCUGGUUGGUGGAUGAGUUACCGGAGCAUGUGAGAAGGCUCCAGGAUAUGCCUGGUCUUUUGGUCUUGCUCAGCUGUGGGGAGUUGUCUGGUAGAUGUGAGAUCCGUAGAGCCGUGGUGGAAGGAAGGAGGACCUGAGCAGGGAGAAGUGGAAGUUCCACCAGUGUGUGGCUGUAUUUUACUUCUUGUGGUGACAUGUCCCUUCUUUCCUUCUGGUAACGUUUGUGAAAUGACUGUGGAAAGCCUCGGCUGAGGCCCCGUAGGCAAGCAUCGGUGUUUUGGAAACUGGCACUCAAACGCUGCAUUGGUGCGUGAGCUGGCGAGAGGCAGCGCAGGGUGAAAGCCGCCCUCGCAGCUGCCCCUGCUGUGUUGGGGACCGUGAAACUCAAAUUUGUGCUUGCUCACAGCCGUGCAAGUGCUGUCUCUGAUGUGCUGCCACCUUAGUCUCUCUUAUGAUGUCUGGGUGUAACUUCCAGUGCUUAUUCCUCUAAAGGGGAGUAAUUGUUCUUUUUUUGUUUUCUUCUUUAUCUGUGCAGUAGUAGUACCUUGCUGUCAGCUUAAAGAAAGGUAUGGUCUUGUCCCAGAGAAGAGCAGGAGGCAAUAAAUAAAAACAGUGGUGUCGUGGAGAGGAAGGGGCAAAAGUUGUGCAAAGAAAAACCAUGUAGAGGAGCUCAGGGUUCCCUCUGUGCUCCUUGUACUGGGAACCAGUGUGAGACGUAGCAGUUCAGCAUGGAGCUCGUCCUGUACAGCAGAGGCCAGGUGAGGCGAAGGUGUGCUUUAAGUAAGUGUGAAAAUGCCUUGCUGAAGAGGGAGGAACUAGAGGUGUGUUCACCUGCAGCUAGAACUCGUGAAUGCUUUCUGUGGAGGAGCAGAGCGUCUGGCUGGAAUUUGAAGAGAUUAUUGCAAUAAAGAUAUAUCGCAUCAGCUGGAGCCUUUAUCAACAAGUUGCCAAGUGCUUGUCAGAGUGCACAAAUAUUGUUAUCACUGCUUUAUUAAAGGAUAAAUGAGACGAGAGAUGGGAAGGCUGAAGUAUUUGAGAAGCACCUAACUUUUAUGGUGCCUCGAUGGAAGGGCAUUGGUCGUAUGCCCUAGGAACAUAACUGAAGCAUGAAUGAACUAGUGUUUGAUAUAGCAGAGUAUCAGUUGUCCUAAUCUGCCCUGUUAGCCGUAGUUAAACCCACCUUCUGCCUGGUAAAUCUAAAAAAUGUGAU
Molecule: long non-coding RNA, 3518 nt
Organism: Falco peregrinus (peregrine falcon)
Lineage: Eukaryota; Metazoa; Chordata; Aves; Falconiformes; Falconidae
Exons: 4
Source: RefSeq, a predicted model, not a curated record